Molecule: ribosomal RNA, 468 nt
Filed under: uncultured bacterium
Lineage: Bacteria
Description: partial 16S ribosomal RNA
Rfam family: Bacterial small subunit ribosomal RNA
Source: RNAcentral
GACGAACGCUGGCGGCGUGCUUAACACAUGGAAGUCGAACGGGAAGGCCCUGCUUUUGUGGGUUGCUCGAGUGGCGAACGGGUGAGUAACACGUGAGUAACCUGCCCUUGACUUUUGGAUAACUUCAGGAAACUGGGGCUAAUACCGGAUAGGAUCUCCUGCUGCAUGGUGGGGGUUGGAAAGUUUCGGCGGUUGGGGAUGGACUCGCGGCUUAUCAGCUUGUUUGUGGGGUAGUGGCUUACCAAGGCUUUGACGGGUAGCCGGCCUGAGAGGGUGACCGGCCACAUUGGGACUGAGAUACGGCACAGACUCCUACGGGAGGCAGGAGUGGGAAAUAUAGCACAAUGGGCGGAAGCCAGAUGCAGCAACGCCGUGUGCGGGAUGACGGCCUUCGGGUUGUAAACCGAUUUCGCCUGUGACGAAGAGUGAGUGACGGUAAUGUGUAAAGAAGCAACGGCUAACUACGUG